AUUGAACGCUGGCGGCAUGCUUUACACAUGCAAGUCGAACGGCAGCGGGGAGGAGCUUGCUUCUCUGCCGGCGAGUGGCGAACGGGUGAGUAAUACAUCGGAACGUGUCGAGAAGAGGGGGAUAACCACCCGAAAGGGUGGCUAAUACCGCAUAAAUCCUGAGGAAGAAAGCUGGGGACCUAGGAAUAGGCCUAGCGCUUUUUGAGCGGCCGAUGUCGGAUUAGCUAGUUGGUGUGGUAAAGGCUCACCAAGGCGAAGAUCUGUAGCGGGUCUGAGAGGAUGAUCCGCCACACUGGGACUGAGACACGGCCCAGACUCCUACGGGAGGCAGCAGUGGGGAAUUUUGGACAAUGGGGGCAACCCUGAUCCAGCCAUGCCGCGUGUAUGAAGAAGGCCUUAGGGUUGUAAAGUACUUUUGUUAGGGAAGAAAAGUCAGCUGUGAAUAAUGGCUGAUACUGACGGUACCUAAAGAAUAAGCACCGGCUAACUACGUG
RNAcentral lists this ribosomal RNA (494 nucleotides) under uncultured bacterium. Its description in RNAcentral is "partial 16S ribosomal RNA". It matches the Rfam family "Bacterial small subunit ribosomal RNA", at positions 30 to 507 of the family's 1533-position model. The record is from RNAcentral.